Molecule: ribosomal RNA, 856 nt
Filed under: Cumuliphoma omnivirens
Lineage: Eukaryota; Fungi; Ascomycota; Dothideomycetes; Pleosporales; Didymellaceae
Description: LSU rRNA
Rfam family: Eukaryotic large subunit ribosomal RNA
Source: RNAcentral
CAACAGGGAUUGCCCUAGUAACGGCGAGUGAAGCGGCAACAGCUCAAAUUUGAAAUCUGGCGUCUUUGGCGUCCGAGUUGUAAUUUGCAGAGGGCGCUUUGGCAUUGGCAGCGGUCCAAGUUCCUUGGAACAGGACGUCACAGAGGGUGAGAAUCCCGUACGUGGUCGCUAGCCUUUACCGUGUAAAGCCCCUUCGACGAGUCGAGUUGUUUGGGAAUGCAGCUCUAAAUGGGAGGUAAAUUUCUUCUAAAGCUAAAUACUGGCCAGAGACCGAUAGCGCACAAGUAGAGUGAUCGAAAGAUGAAAAGCACUUUGGAAAGAGAGUUAAAAAGCACGUGAAAUUGUUGAAAGGGAAGCGCUUGCAGCCAGACUUGCCUGUAGUUGCUCAUCCGGGUUUCUACCCGGUGCACUCUUCUAUAGGCAGGCCAGCAUCAGUUUGGGCGGUUGGAUAAAGGUCUCUGUCAUGUACCUCUCUUCGGGGAGAACUUAUAGGGGAGACGACAUGCAACCAGCCCGGACUGAGGUCCGCGCAUCUGCUAGGAUGCUGGCGUAAUGGCUGUAAGCGGCCCGUCUUGAAACACGGACCAAGGAGUCUAACAUCUAUGCGAGUGUUUGGGUGUCAAGCCCGAGCGCGUAAUGAAAGUGAACGGAGGUGGGAACCUUUCGGGGUGCACCAUCGACCGAUCCUGAUGUCUUCGGAUGGAUUUGAGUAAGAGCAUAGCUGUUGGGACCCGAAAGAUGGUGAACUAUGCUUGAAUAGGGUGAAGCCAGAGGAAACUCUGGUGGAGGCUCGCAGCGGUUCUGACGUGCAAAUCGAUCGUCAAAUUUGGGCAUAGGGGCGAAAGACUAAUCGAAC